CUGCAUUACAGGUUAUUACAUGUUGAUCUUUUUCCUUCUACUUACAUGUCUUAGAGUACAAGAAGAAAAUUGAUGCAUGCAAGCAGAAAGCGGCUGCUGCCAAAUCUGAAACUGCUGCUGAUGAAGAACUAGGUUUGCUGCAGAAAGAGAUGAAAGAGGAACCAAAGGAAGAACAUAUGCUAAAGGAUGCGUUCAGAUUAGUAUCUAUUCAAUUUAAGUUGCAUCAUAUUGAUUCUUGAUUUAAUGCCAAUAGCUUGAUUAACAAAUCUGUAUUAUGAUUUACACAGUCAUUGUCAGUGAAAUUGAUGAUCUGGAGCAUCAAAGGGAUUCUAUCGAAGAGAGAAGGAAAAACUUAAAGAAACUUGAACUAAAAGAGUUGAGAGUGCAGUAAGUCUCACGUGAAAACCUAUAACUUUUGUAUUUAUGCAAUUAUUAUGGCAUCUACUUUUCAAGCUAUGAAAAUCUUGAAAUGUGUGGCAAGUAUUUUAUCCUGCUAGAAUCUGUGAUGUAGAAUGUAUUCCAACACACAUUGCUGUUUCUUUGCUGUUCUUCUUUCUUCUCAUGGCAAUUUCUUGCAUGGUGCUGGCAGUUCUUAGCCUCCGGUGUUGUGUCUUCUACAUAUCUACCAACUACAUUAGGGAGUGUCUUGUUCACUUGUCCAAGUUGGACCACCUCAAUUGAAUGUCCCCCAUUGCUUUCAAGCCAAACUAAUAAUAAUCAUAUUAAGAUAAGAGCGGGUAUUUUUGUCAAAUUGUUUUUUGGAUAUCUUGGUUUUCUCUUACUUCUAAGUAUAAAAAAAGUUAAUUUUUUGAAAAUUAACUCUUCACUAUCAAAAUGAAUAACUUAAUUAUUUCCAACUUUGAUCAAUUUAAAAGAAUUAUUUAUUUUAAAACUUACUUAUUUACUUGAUCAUAGCCACAACAUGCCACGUUAGUUUUAUGUUGGCAAAGGUAGAUGCCACGCUAUAGCUUCUUUUAGAAACAUAGUAACUCAUGCAAUGUUAAUUGAUCUUGUAGGAAGAAGCUAUCAAUGUUCGCUUCCAUAGCAAAUACUAUCCCCAACUUCGACGAUCCAUCCAAAAUAUCAGGUUGUAUCCUUGUUUACUUGUGUUGCUAAAUUUUCAUAUUAUUUUUCCCCUUUCUGCAGUGCCCAUCCAAUUGGAUUCUAAAUUGCUCUUUAAGCAUCUUUGUGAUCUUUAUUCCCUUUAACUUGAUCAUCUUAGAUAUUGUGGGCAGAGAUAUAAAAGCAAUUGAAAAUUUUGAGUUUGAUUGGAUAAAGCUGACUGCAUUUGAUACUUGUAACAGUAUGUGGAAGAUGAUAAAUUUGUGAUAGGCAUUUCAAAUGACAGUAAUAUGUAAUUUGUUUGGAUCUGUAUUGUUCUGGUCAUUGAAAUGGAAUCUAAUACACAAAUUGUCUUAAGUUGUAAAAUAUUUUUGUUCCUUCAAAUAGUGACUGAUUAUAUUUUGAGCUUCCAGUGUUGAAUAUUUCAAAUAUUUGGUUUGGUUAAGUUCGAAUAUGAAUCCUCGGUUCAUGUGUUUCUAAAACAUUUUUUAUGGCAUGUUUACGAUGUUAGAAAAGUUAUGCCUUUAGAAGUUAGCUCAUGAAAAGAACAUUUUCUCACUCGCGUAACAUGGUUUUUCAUGAAAUGUGUACAACGGUUCAGAAG
This 1666-nucleotide long non-coding RNA is filed under the name Olea europaea subsp. europaea. Lineage: Eukaryota; Viridiplantae; Streptophyta; Magnoliopsida; Lamiales; Oleaceae. The record is from RNAcentral.